CCAAACAAGGGGGUUUGGAUUAGGAACACAGAGGUGUAAUUAGCCACAAUGCCGCAGGGCCCAUUACAAUGCCCAAAGUUCUAGUCAUCCAUGGAACACGGGGUGAAACGCUGGGAGAGGUGUGAAUAGCUCAGAUUGGGCCAAGAAGCCCAAUGCAACAAACAAGCCAUGAAGGCUGAAGGGAAUGGUGGAAAUAUGAUUCAGCAGGAGAGUACGUGUAUAAUUGACCAUUAUGGAACACAUUUUUCACGUGCCAAAAUCCAAAUUUAAUGAAAAUCCAAACGUGAGUCAGAGUGGCCUCCCUCCACCUGAGCUCAGUCCCUCUUCCGCCGCACCGGAGGUCGCCUCUGAUGGCGGGUCUUUAAUGACCAAAUAAAGCACAUCACCUCCUCCAAUUUAAAGUCCCGAGCUUGAAAAUCACGGUUAAAUAGCCUAAAUUUUCAAGAACAACAUGAAUCAAAGGUAAAAAGGGGAAGAACCCUAGAAAUCAAGUGGAAAUUAAAUCGUGCUCUCUCGAAACCAAACCAUCGGGGUUAGGGCUUUGAUUCCCCUAAUCGAACCUCACAUCUCAGUAACUUAUAUACAGUCAACUAAUGAAGAUGAAGGUAGAACUUACCGGAGCAUCGCCGGAGUCAGGUAAGAAAUCUUUGAAUCCUCUCGAAACUUAUUCUUCCUUUCUGUUCUUCUUUUCUACUUCUUCUCAACUUCUUCUAAAAAUUGUCUGAAUUGUGAGAUUUAACCGUGGGUUCGAUAUAUAUAUAUAUAUAGAGAGAGAGGGGGGAUUGUGAGUGAGGUCAAGCUCUACUAUGUUGAAGCUUCAAGGUGAAGAUUCAAUUGAGUAUGUUAAAGGAGCUCUAGAUGAGAGUGCAGAGGAAAGUUCUGAGAUGAAAGUUGAAUCUCGAAAUUCUGAGAAGGGUGAAAAUGAAUUGUAUUCCUCGGUGAUGAAUAAUUGCAGAGUAUUUAUAGAUUUUAGGUCCUUCAAAUUUCUGUUAGAAAUGCCAAAUGAAAUUCAACUGAAAUUCACAAGUUAGUUGGAAAUUAGAAAUUUUGUUAGAGUGAAUAUGAGUGAAAGAUUAGUUUAUUAUCAUUGCAAAUUCAGUUAGUUGAAUUAGGAUUAUAUGUGUGCUGCAUUAGGUUAAUUAUUAUGGUCUUCUUCUGUUAAGAGAAAUUUUGUAGGGUGGAUGUUAAUUAUGCAAGAGAAACGUAUGAUUUAUGUUUUGUUAAAAGUUAAGCAUGAUGUAUGCUUUGGUUCUUAAUGAACUUGGUGUGUUUCAUUUAAAACAGGUGCAUGGCUAUGAGAAUGAUGGAACUUCCAAUUGGUGUUCCGUUAAAAACGUGCAGGGUUCUAUUGGUUGAAAUUGGAGGGGGUAAGUUGAACAUGGUUUUGCUCUAUUAUGUAAUUUAUUACAAGCUGAAAAUGAAAUUUGCACUGUUAUGUUUGUAGGUUGGAAGAUUUUUUUUGCAAGGAUGAGCUGAUGUGAGAUGCUAUGGAAUAUCAUUUUACCCUGUUAGAAGCAAAUGAAUGAUUUAUAGACUGUUGCUUUGAUAUGCUUGGAUUGUGUAUUGAAUAUCAUGGACUAUGGGAUUGUGUAAAAUUGACUAGAGACUUAGGAUUUCUCAAAUGGUUGAAUAUUGUAAUUGUAUAAAAUGGUGUGGUCUGUUUAAUGUGUAAUGAAAAGUUAAUUGAAUUUGAAUUGAAUGGAUUAAUGGUUAUGGAAUUUAAUGUGUGCACUGAAUUUGUAGGAUGGUGUAUUGCAUUGAUUUGUAAUGGAAAGUUAUUGAAUGUUAAGAUUGUUAUGGAAAGUUAAUUGAAUGAAUGCUUGAAUGGUUUAUGGAGUUGUACUUCAAUGUGUAAAUAUUUGGACUGAAUGUUGUUUUGAAAAUUGAUUGAAUGUGGAAUAAGGUCUUGUAUUUGGCCAUGAAAUUGUCUAUGUAUUGCAUUUGGAAAUGACCUUUGAAAUGGACAUGUAACAUGUGUUGGUUAAUUAACAUGGUUUAACAUGAACAUGGUUUAGGUGCUUUGAAAUGGACAAGAACAUGAAUUAUGGUUUGUAAAAGAAGCAUGGUUGAAAAAUGACUUGGAAAUGGACAUUGUCUUAUGGUUUUUGGACUGCC
RNAcentral lists this long non-coding RNA (2115 nucleotides) under Lathyrus oleraceus (garden pea). RNAcentral's name for it is "Pisum sativum (pea) long non-coding RNA (PSAT_LNC032409)". Lineage: Eukaryota; Viridiplantae; Streptophyta; Magnoliopsida; Fabales; Fabaceae. The record is from RNAcentral.